This 72-nucleotide transfer RNA is filed under the name Mariniphaga anaerophila. It matches the Rfam family "tRNA". Rfam says of the family: Transfer RNA (tRNA) molecules are approximately 80 nucleotides in length. Their secondary structure includes four short double-helical elements and three loops (D, anti-codon, and T loops). The record is from Rfam by way of RNAcentral. Lineage: Bacteria; Pseudomonadati; Bacteroidota; Bacteroidia; Marinilabiliales; Prolixibacteraceae.
GGUCCCCUAGUUCAAUGGAUAGAAUUUCAGAUUCCGGUUCUGACGAUAUGGGUUCGAAUCCCGUGGGGAUCA